Molecule: ribosomal RNA, 404 nt
Filed under: uncultured bacterium
Lineage: Bacteria
Description: partial 16S ribosomal RNA
Rfam family: Bacterial small subunit ribosomal RNA
Source: RNAcentral
GAUGAACGCUGACAGAAUGCUUAACACAUGCAAGUCAACUGUGGCGGACGGGUGAGUAACGCGUAAAGAACUUGCCUCACAGAUAGGGACAACAUUUGGAAACGAAUGAUAAUACCUGAUACUGUGAGAGAGCUUUGCGUCCCAUUAGCUAGUUGGAGAGGUAACGGCGCACCAAGGAGAUGAUGGGUAGCCGGCCUGAGAGGGUGAUCGGCCACAAGGGGACUGAGACACGGGCCUUAGUCAGACUGGAGGAAGCAGUGGGGAAUAGUGGACAAGGUGCCAAAGUCUGAAGCAGCAAUUCGGUUUGCACGAUGAAGUUUUCGGAAUGAAGAGUGCUUUCAGUUGAGAUGCGUUACCAACAGAAGAAGUGACGGCUAAAUACGUGCCAGCAGCCGCGGUAAUUC